Molecule: long non-coding RNA, 641 nt
Filed under: Parus major (Great Tit)
Lineage: Eukaryota; Metazoa; Chordata; Aves; Passeriformes; Paridae
Description: lncRNA (ENSPMJG00000001749.1)
Source: RNAcentral
GGCGGCGGCGGGGGGGGCGGCGGAGGCGGCCCCCAGCCCCAGCAGGUGGGGAGUGUUCAGUAAGGCCAGCGGGUGCGGGGGGUGGUGGUGGUGGUGGUGGGCCGGGAAUGCGCGGUUGGUCCAGUUGGGGAACUUGCCCAGGGGGCAGGAGGAGACGAGUCUGUGGGGUGGCGGGGUGGGCAGCGGCAGCGGCUGGGGGGCGGCCGCCGGCGGAGAGCCGCCGCCAGGAGACUUGCGGGGGUUGUCCGGGCUGGUGGCCGUCUCGGCCAGCGACCAGAUCUUGGGUUUCGGCAAAGCGCCGGCCAAAGCGCCGUCCGUCGGGGAGGAUGCGGUGGAGGAAGAGGCAGAGGAAGGGGGAGAGAGAGAUCCGGGUUUGGCUGAGGUUUAACCACUGGUGCAGAAGGUUGCAGGUACAUUGGCAGAUCUCAAGAGCAAGAGAUUUACUGCAUGAUGCCGGCCACACCUUGAGCUGCUGCUCAGGGCAACAAAGGCAACAAGAUCUGGGAUUGGAGCUGAUGGAAAAGACUGUAAAACUUUCUAUUUUCCAUUUAAAUUUAUUUUUCACAGAUGUCUAUAAUACCAGAUUGUUUUCUUCAGCAUUUAAGGCGUUCGGAGCAGCACGAAGAGAGGCACGGAGCCAG